RNAcentral lists this ribosomal RNA (484 nucleotides) under uncultured bacterium. RNAcentral's name for it is "partial 16S ribosomal RNA". It matches the Rfam family "Bacterial small subunit ribosomal RNA", at positions 28 to 523 of the family's 1533-position model. The record is from RNAcentral.
GACGAACGCUGGCGGCGUGCUUAACACAUGCAAGUCGAACGAUGAACCCGGAGCUUGCUCCGGUGGAUUAGUGGCGAACGGGUGAGUAACACGUGAGUAACCUGCCCUUGACUCUGGGAUAACUGCGGGAAACGGUAGCUAAUACCGGAUACGACCCUCGGCGGCAUCGCCAGGGGGUGGAAAGAAUUUCGGUCAAGGAUGGACCCGCGGCCUAUCAGCUCGUUGGUGAGGUAACGGCUCACCAAGGCGAAGACGGGUAGCCGGCCUGAGAGGCUGACCGGCCACACUGGGACUGAGACACGGCCCAGACUCCUACGGGAGGCAGCAGUGGGGAAUAUUGCACAAUGGGCGCAAGCCUGAUGCAACAACGCCGCGUGAGGGAUGACGGCCUUCGGGUUGUAAACCUCUUUUAGUAGGGAAGAAGCGAGAGUGACGGUACCUGCAGAAAAAGCACCGGCUAACUACGUGCCAGCCGCCGCCGUAA